GAAAGGCCAAUCAAACCGGGAGAUAGCUGGUUCUCCCCGAAAUCUAUUUAGGUAGAGCCUUGAGCGGACACCUUCGGGGGUAGAGCACUGUUUCGGCUAGGGGUCCAUCCCGGAUUACCAACCCGAUGCAAACUGCGAAUACCGAAGAGUGAUACUCAGGAGACACACGGUGGGUGCUAACGUCCAUCGUGGAGAGGGAAACAACCCAGACCGCCAGCUAAGGUCCCAAAGUCUAUAUUAAGUGGGAAACGAAGUGGGAAGGCUUAGACAGCUAGGAUGUUGGCUUAGAAGCAGCCAUCAUUUAAAGAAAGCGUAAUAGCUCACUAGUCGAGUCGGCCUGCGCGGAAGAUGUAACGGGGCUAAAAUAUAGCACCGAAGCUGCGGCAUCAGUCGAAAGACUGUUGGGUAGGGGAGCGUUCUGUAAGCGGAAGAAGGUGAAUCGAGAGGUUUGCUGGACGUAUCAGAAGUGCGAAUGCUGACAUAAGUAACGAUAAAACGAGUGAAAAACUCGUUCGCCGGAAGACCAAGGGUUCCUGUCCAACGUUAAUCGGGGCAGGGUGAGUCGGCCCCUAAGGCGAGGCUGAAAAGCGUAGUCGAUGGGAAACGGGUUAAUAUUCCCGUACUUGGUGUAAUUGCGAUGUGGGGACGGAGAAGGUUAGGUUAUCAGGGUGUUGGAAAUCCCUGUUUAAGCCGGUAGGUGUGAAGACUAGGCAAAUCCGGUCUUCUUUAACGCCGAGAAGUGAUGACGAGGCUCUACGGAGCUGAAGUAACCGAUACCACGCUUCCAGGAAAAGCCACUAAGCUUCAGGUUACACUAAACCGUACUAUAAACCGACACAGGUGGUCAGGUAGAGAAUACUCAGGCGCUUGAGAGAACUCGGGUGAAGGAACUAGGCAAAAUAGCACCGUAACUUCGGGAGAAGGUGCGCCGGCGUAGAUUGUAGUGUCUUGCACACGAAGGUUGAACCGGUCGAAGAUACCAGCUGGCUGCAACUGUUUAUUAAAAACACAGCACUCUGCAAACACGAAAGUGGACGUAUAGGGUGUGAUGCCUGCCCGGUGCUGGAAGGUUAAUUGAUGGUGUUAUCGAAAGAGAAGCUCCUGAUCGAAGCCCCAGUAAACGGCGGCCGUAACUAUAACGGUCCUAAGGUAGCGAAAUUCCUUGUCGGGUAAGUUCCGACCUGCACGAAUGGCAUAAUGAUGGCCAGGCUGUCUCCACCCGAGACUCAGUGAAAUUGAAAUCGCCGUGAAGAUGCGGUGUACCCGCGGCUAGACGGAAAGACCCCGUGAACCUUUACUAUAGCUUGACACUGAACAUUGAAUUUUGAUGUGUAGGAUAGGUGGGAGCCUUUGAAGCAUGAACGCUAGUUUGUGUGGAGGCGUCCUUGAAAUACCACCCUUUAACGUUUGAUGUUCUAACGAGGCGCCCUAAUCGGGUGUUCGGACAGUGUCUGGUGGGUAGUUUGACUGGGGCGGUCUCCUCCCAAAGAGUAACGGAGGAGCACGAAGGUUUGCUAAUCACGGUCGGACAUCGUGAGGUUAGUGCAAUGGUAUAAGCAAGCUUAACUGCGAGACAGACAAGUCGAGCAGGUGCGAAAGCAGGUCAUAGUGAUCCGGUGGUUCUGAAUGGAAGGGCCAUCGCUCAACGGAUAAAAGGUACUCCGGGGAUAACAGGCUGAUACCGCCCAAGAGUUCAUAUCGACGGCGGUGUUUGGCACCUCGAUGUCGGCUCAUCACAUCCUGGGGCUGAAGUAGGUCCCAAGGGUAUGGCUGUUCGCCAUUUAAAGUGGUACGCGAGCUGGGUUUAGAACGUCGUGAGACAGUUCGGUCCCUAUCUGCCGUGGGCGUUGGAGAAUUGAGAGGGGCUGCUCCUAGUACGAGAGGACCGGAGUGGACGCACCCCUGGUGUUCCGGUUGUGUCGCCAGACGCAUUGCCGGGUAGCUAAGUGCGGAAGAGAUAAGUGCUGAAAGCAUCUAAGCACGAAACUUGCCUUGAGAUGAGUUCUCCCCGACUAUAAGUUGGUAAGGGUUGUUUAAGACUAAGACGUAGAUAGGUAGGGUGUGUAAGCGGUGUGAGCCGUUGAGCUAACCUAUACUAAUUGCCCGAGAGGCUUAACUAU
This 2120-nucleotide ribosomal RNA is filed under the name Mannheimia granulomatis DSM 19156. RNAcentral's name for it is "bacterial LSU rRNA". It matches the Rfam family "Bacterial large subunit ribosomal RNA", at positions 823 to 2925 of the family's 2925-position model. Lineage: Bacteria; Pseudomonadati; Pseudomonadota; Gammaproteobacteria; Pasteurellales; Pasteurellaceae. The record is from RNAcentral.